UCAACUUCCAUCAAUUAGCAUCCAAUUCUUCUCAAGACCAUGAAAUAUUUAUUUCUCACAGGUUCUUCUUCGGUCAAUUUCUCAGAUUAGGAGUUGAGUAAACAUCAAUAUGCUCAAGGUAAUGCACCCUACUUUGCAUAGUAAACGAUACUGGGCCAUUUUGAUUGCAAAACAUCUUUGAUAAACUGAAGAUGAUGCCACAACCCAGCUUUAGUUUAUAGAUUGCUGAGAGAUUGGCCAAUCUAAAAAAGAAAAUAUGGAUGCCAAGGUGAACAGUGGUGUGAUGUCUGUAGCUGGGACGUUGAAAAGUUUGUGUAAGUUCUUCUGGCUUUAUCUCAAAUAUUAAUUUCUUUGUACGCGUGUGCUUAUGUAGAAACAUCAAAUGUCUUAGAUAUCUUCUAGAAAAUCACGUGUUGAUGACAUUUCAGCAAAGAAGUGUGUAAUUUGCUUCUCAAUCUACAUUACUACUUAUGCUAUUUUGGUGCAAUGCUAUGUCUGAUAUCUUAUGACAGUCCUUGUAGAUUUUGUGUUGAUGUAAGUAUUGUACUAAACUCAUCUUUACGAUUAAAUACGGAGUUGCUAAGGGUCCUAUAGGUUGGAGAGACUAGUAUCCUAUUUUGUCAAGAUAGUAACUUCUUGUUCUAAAGUUUACUCUAUUACUUGUGUUCUAAAAUUUACCUUGUUUUACUAAAUUAUGUUGUUACUAAAUUUUUGCACUAUUGUACUAAAAUUUGCCUUGCUACUGUUGUACUAAAAUCUAACCAUUGAUUAGGAAGGAAGAGAUUAAGGGAGCAAAAAUAAUGAGGAAGGAGCGCUCAGAAGAAGUUACUAAAAAUCCACUUAAGGUGUGACCUUCACGUAACUCACAAAUCAUAAUCAGAUAUUCAUGAUAAUGGCACCAGACACAUGACAUCCAUUCGUAUAACUAUAUAUAGUAUAUUGUACUUGAUGCUAUUAUUGUUCCUUUUUAACAUGAUGCUUAUAUUGUUCCUUUUUAAAUUGAUGCUUAUAUUGUUUCUUUGAGCAUAAAGUAUAUAUUUAAAUUCUUGAAACCUUGCAUCUAUUUGUUCAGGAGAACUGCAGAUCUUUCUAUGAAAAUGAAGGUUGUGUUGUAUGCAGUACAUGUUUUUUUUCAAAGGAAGUACCUGAUAUCUUACAUUCUAUGUUUGCUUCAAGUUUACUUGAACUCAAUUGACAUCUAGCAGAUUUCUUCAUAAUAAAACAAGGAUCAAAAGUGUGUAAGAUGUAGGAUAUUGCUCCACUUUUCCGUCUGCAAUGUUACUAAUGUGAUAGCCUUCAACAUUUGUAUGUUGCUCCUCUACAUUUUUGUGCUCUGUUAACCUGAUUUUCUCUAUCGUAAAUUACUCAUUUCAUUAUUUGUUUUUGUAGAUUGCUGAGAUAAAUGGAGGAUGCAUGGCUCAGAUGUUGAUUGCAAGGCAUAGAAUGGGGAUAAUUAGAAUGUCAUUUUCAGGAAAAUGUUUGAAACAUUAUAGUUGAUUGGAAGGUCGAGAAUUUUGCUACUAGUAGAUAGCUCACAUCUUGUAAUGUUUGGAUCGUGCUCGGUGUAAUGCAACAUAGUUGAUUUAAUAUAUGCGAUCUUUCCGUUUAUUGUACUAUGCCUCCUAUACACUAUGUAUUGAACUAAUAAUUGUGGAUGGCAAUGUAUAAAAUAUCAUCAAUUAUUCAUGCUAUGUACCGAAGC
This 1702-nucleotide long non-coding RNA is filed under the name Triticum aestivum (bread wheat). RNAcentral describes it as "long non-coding RNA (TAES_LNC021205)". Lineage: Eukaryota; Viridiplantae; Streptophyta; Magnoliopsida; Poales; Poaceae. The record is from RNAcentral.